CGCUGGCGGCAGGCCUAACACAUGCAAGUCGAGCGGAUGAAAGGAGCUUGCUCCUGGAUUCAGCGGCGGACGGGUGAGUAAUGUCUAGGAAUCUGCCUGGUAGUGGGGGACAACGUUUCGAAAGGAACGCUAAUACCGCAUACGUCCUACGGGAGAAAGCAGGGGACCUUCGGGCCUUGCGCUAUCAGAUGAGCCUAGGUCGGAUUAGCUAGUUGGUGAGGUAAUGGCUCACCAAGGCGACGAUCCGUAACUGGUCUGAGAGGAUGAUCAGUCACACUGGAACUGAGACACGGUCCAGACUCCUACGGGAGGCAGCAGUGGGGAAUAUUGGACAAUGGGCGAAAGCCUGAUCCAGCCAUGCCGCGUGUGUGAAGAAGGUCUUCGGAUUGUAAAGCACUUUAAGUUGGGAGGAAGGGUUGUAGAUUAACACUCUGCAAUUUUGACGUUACCGACAGAAUAAGCACCGGCU
Molecule: ribosomal RNA, 469 nt
Filed under: uncultured bacterium
Lineage: Bacteria
Description: bacterial SSU rRNA
Rfam family: Bacterial small subunit ribosomal RNA
Source: RNAcentral